AUACGGAGGGUGCAAGCGUUACUCGGAAUCACUGGGCGUAAAGCGCGCGCAGGCGGGCUGAUAAGUUGGAUGUGAAAGCCUACGGCUCAACCGUAGAACUGCAUCCAAAACUGUCAGUCUAGAGUGUGGGAGAGGAAGAUGGAAUUAGUUGUGUAGGGGUAAAAUCCGUAGAGAUAACUAGGAAUACCAAAAGCGAAGGCAAUCUUCUGGAACACUACUGACGCUGAGGCGCGAAGGCGGGGGGAGCAAACAGGAUUAGAUACCCCAGUAGUCC
Molecule: ribosomal RNA, 274 nt
Filed under: uncultured bacterium
Lineage: Bacteria
Description: partial 16S ribosomal RNA
Rfam family: Bacterial small subunit ribosomal RNA
Source: RNAcentral